UCCAGUUGUUCGGACCGGACG
RNAcentral lists this unclassified non-coding RNA (21 nucleotides) under Mus musculus (house mouse). RNAcentral's name for it is "oocyte_clustered_small_RNA13903". The record is from RNAcentral. Lineage: Eukaryota; Metazoa; Chordata; Mammalia; Rodentia; Muridae.